GAUGAACGCUGGCGGCGUGCUUAACACAUGCAAGUCGAACGAAGCACUUUAUUUGAUUUCCUUCGGGACUGAUUAUUUUGUGACUGAGUGGCGGACGGGUGAGUAACGCGUGGGUAACCUGCCUUGUACAGGGGGAUAACAGUUGGAAACGGCUGCUAAUACCGCAUAAGCGCACAGCAUCGCAUGAUGCAGUGUGAAAAACUCCGGUGGUAUAAGAUGGACCCGCGUUGGAUUAGCUAGUUGGUGAGGUAACGGCCCACCAAGGCGACGAUCCAUAGCCGACCUGAGAGGGUGACCGGCCACAUUGGGACUGAGACACGGCCCAAACUCCUACGGGAGGCAGCAGUGGGGAAUAUUGCACAAUGGGCGAAAGCCUGAUGCAGCGACGCCGCGUGAGCGAAGAAGUAUUUCGGUAUGUAAAGUUCUAUCAGCAGGGAAGAUAAUGACGGUACCUGACUAAGAAGCACCGGCUAAAUACGUG
This 481-nucleotide ribosomal RNA is filed under the name uncultured bacterium. Its description in RNAcentral is "partial 16S ribosomal RNA". It matches the Rfam family "Bacterial small subunit ribosomal RNA", at positions 28 to 507 of the family's 1533-position model. The record is from RNAcentral.